AGAGUUUGAUCCUGGCUCAGAUUGAACGCUGGCGGCACGCUUAACACAUGCAAGUCGGACGGCAGCAGCACUUAGCUUGCUAAGUGGCUGGCGAGUGGCGGACGGGUGAGUAAUGCGUAGGGAUCAACCUAAAAGAGGGGGAUAACCGUGGGAAACUAUGGCUAAUACCGCAUGCACUUCGUAAGAAGCAAAGGAGGGGCUCGAAAGACCUUCCGCUUUUAGAUGAACCUACGUUGGAUUAGCUAGUUGGAAAGGUAAAGGCUUCCCAAGGCGACGAUCCAUAGCUGGUUUGAGAGGACGAACAGCCACACUGGGACUGAGACACGGCCCAGACUCCUACGGGAGGCAGCAGUGGGGAAUAUUGGACAAUGGGGGCAACCCUGAUCCAGCGAUGCCGCGUGUGUGAAGAAGGCCUACGGGUUGUAAAGCACUUUCGAUGGUGAUGAAAGCGUUAUUGAGAAUAUUGUUAACGUAAGACGUAAGCCAUAGAAGAAGCACCGGCAAACUCUGUGCCAGCAGCCGCGGUAAUACAGAGGGUGCAAGCGUUAAUCGGAAUGACUGGGCGUAAAGGGCACGUAGGCGGAUAUAAAAGUUAGCUUUGAAAAUCUAGGGCUUAACCUUAGAAAGUGAGCUAAAACUGGAUAUCUAGAGUUCAGUAGAGGGAAGCGGAAUUUCCGGUGUAGCGGUGAAAUGCGUAGAUAUCGGAAGGAACACCAGUAGCGAAGGCGGCUUUCUGGACUGAAACUGACGCUGAGGUGCGAAAGCGUGGGUAGCGAACAGGAUUAGAGACCCUGGUAGUCCACGCCGUAAACGAUGAGUACUAGCUGUUGGAGUGCGACGAUACUUUAGUGGCGAAGCAAACGCGAUAAGUACUCCGCCUGGGGAUUACGGCCGCAAGGCUAAAACUCAAAGGAAUUGACGGGGGCCCGCACAAGCGGUGGAGCAUGUGGUUUAAUUCGAUGCAACGCGAAGAACCUUACCUACUCUUGACAUCCUUGGAAUUUUCAAGAGAUUGAGAAGUGCCCGAAAGGGAACCAAGAGACAGGUGCUGCAUGGCUGUCGUCAGCUCGUGUUGUGAGAUGUUGGGUUAAGUCCCGUAACGAGCGCAACCCCUAUUCUUAUUUACCAGCAUGUAAUGAUGGGAACUUUAAGAAGACAGCCGGUGAUAAACCGGAGGAAGGUGGGGAUGACGUCAAGUCAUCAUGGCCCUUAUGAGUAGGGCUACACACGUGCUACAAUGGGUAUUACAGAGGGAUGCGACACUGAGAGGUUAAGCGGAACUCAGAAAGGUACUCGUAGUCCGGAUUGAAGUCUGCAAUUCGACUUCAUGAAGUAGGAAUCGCUAGUAAUCGCGAAUCAGAAUGUCGCGGUGAAUACGUUCUCGGGCCUUGUACACACCGCCCGUCACACCAUGGGAGUGGGUUGUACCAGAAGUGAGUAGGAUAACCGCAAGGAGUCCGCUUACCACGGUAUGAUUCAUGACUGGGGUGAAGUCGUAACAAGGUAACC
Molecule: ribosomal RNA, 1509 nt
Filed under: uncultured bacterium
Lineage: Bacteria
Description: bacterial SSU rRNA
Rfam family: Bacterial small subunit ribosomal RNA
Source: RNAcentral